RNAcentral lists this ribosomal RNA (1215 nucleotides) under metagenome. RNAcentral's name for it is "SSU rRNA". It matches the Rfam family "Eukaryotic small subunit ribosomal RNA", at positions 582 to 1823 of the family's 1831-position model. The record is from RNAcentral.
AUUCCAGCUCCAAUAGCGUAUAUUAAAGUUGUUGCGGUUAAAAAGCUCGUAGUUGGAUCUCGGUUUCACUCAGGUGGUACACCUUGCGGUGUUCACUAUCUGGGUGGACGUUUCUGUUGGUUCGCUCUUGGUGCUCUUCAUCGGGUGCCAUUUGGUGGCCAGCACGUUUACUUUGAAAAAAUUGGAGUGCUCAAAGCAGGCGUUACAGCCUGAACAUUAGUGCAUGGAAUAAUGGAAUAGGAUCUCGAUUCUAUUUCGUUGGCUUUCGGAGUCGAGGUAAUGAUUAAUAGGGACAGACGGGGGCAUUCGUACUGCGACGUUAGAGGUGAAAUUCUUGGAUCGUCGCAAGACGAACUACUGCGAAAGCAUUUGCCAAGAAUGUUUUCAUUAAUCAAGAACGAAAGUUAGAGGUUCGAAGGCGAUCAGAUACCGCCCUAGUUCUAACCAUAAACGAUGCCAACCGGCGAUCCGUCGUCGUUAAUUGAAUGACUCGACGGGCAGCCUCCGGGAACCAGAGUGUUUGGGUUCCGGGGGAAGUAUGGUUGCAAAGCUGAAACUUAAAGGAAUUGACGGAAGGGCACCACCAGGAGUGGAGCCUGCGGCUUAAUUUGACUCAACACGGGAAAUCUCACCAGGCCCGGACACCGGAAGGAUUGACAGAUUGAGAGCUCUUUCUUGAUUCGGUGGGUGGUGGUGCAUGGCCGUUCUUAGUUGGUGGAGCGAUUUGUCUGGUUAAUUCCGAUAACGAACGAGACUCUGGCCUACUAACUAGAAGGUCUAUCCUUUAUGGGUAGGCCUCUGCUUCUUAGAGGGACGGGCGGCGUUUAGCCGCACGAGAAUGAGCAAUAACAGGUCUGUGAUGCCCUUAGAUGUUCUGGGCUGCACGCGCGCUACACUGAAGGAAUCAGCAUGUUCUCCCCUCCCUGAAAAGGGCGGGUAACCCGUUGAAACUCCUUCGUGAUGGGGAUUGGAGAUUGUAAUUAUUCUCCAUGAACGAGGAAUUCCCAGUAGGCGCGAGUCAUCAGCUUGCGUCGAUUACGUCCCUGCCCUUUGUACACACCGCCCGUCGCUACUACCGAUCGAGUGAUUUAGUGAGGACUUCGGACUGGUCUUCAAGUUGGCUUCGGUCGGCUCGAAGUUCCGGAAAGAUGCCCAAACUUGAUCACUUAGAGGAAGUAAAAGUCGUAACAAGGUUUCCGUAGGUGCCUGCGGAAG